This 279-nucleotide ribosomal RNA is filed under the name uncultured bacterium. RNAcentral's name for it is "partial 16S ribosomal RNA". It matches the Rfam family "Bacterial small subunit ribosomal RNA", at positions 506 to 784 of the family's 1533-position model. The record is from RNAcentral.
UGCCAGCCGCCGCGGUAAUACGGAAGGGGCAAGCGUUGUUCGGAUUUACUGGGCGUAAAGGGUACGUAGGCGGCGCAACAAGUCACUUGUGAAAUCUCCGAGCUUAACUCGGAACGGCCAAGUGAUACUGUCGUGCUAGAGUGCAGAAUGGGCAAGUGGAAUUCUUGGUGUAGCGGUGAAAUGCGUAGAUAUCAAGAGGAACACCUGAGGCGAAGGCGACUUGCUGGGCUGACACUGGCGCUGAGGUACGAAAGCCAGGGGAGCGAACGGGAUUAGAUA